This is a long non-coding RNA of Eurytemora carolleeae, 378 nucleotides long. RefSeq lists it as uncharacterized. The record is from RefSeq and is a predicted model, not a curated record. The transcript is spliced from 3 exons. NCBI's taxonomy places the organism in Eukaryota, Metazoa, Arthropoda, Copepoda, Calanoida, Temoridae.
UGAAAGAAAAAGAAGAAAAAGAGGAAGAGGAAGAGGAAGGAGAAGAAAAUGAGGAAAAGGAAGAGAAGAUAGAAGAAAAUGUGGAUUUAGUUGAACAGAGUUCUGUUCAAAGCUCCCUUUUGUCUAGUAGAGUUUCACCAGAUCGAAGGUGUUCUGCGAGGUUUCUCAGUAAAAGUGUUGCCCUGACAUUAAGACAACUACAGAGGGAUGAAUACAAUGCAACAGUUGCUCAACUCGUUAGGAAUCAAUUAAUCAUUCAAAUAAUUUAAUUAAUUAGUAAGUCAUUUAGAAAAUCAGUCUUUUAUCCUUUAAUGAAUAGAAGGGAGGAUGAAUAAAUGAAUAAAAGAAUAGAAGUAAGGAUGAAUAAAUGAAUAAAAG